Molecule: unclassified non-coding RNA, 406 nt
Filed under: Hevea brasiliensis (rubber tree)
Lineage: Eukaryota; Viridiplantae; Streptophyta; Magnoliopsida; Malpighiales; Euphorbiaceae
Source: RNAcentral
AAGAAGCUGAAAGAACAUGAGGUAAUUUGGGGGCUGUGGGCCAGUAGUUUUGGCAUAAUGAAACAUUUCUAUAUAUGAGUAGUUGAUUAAGUUACUGAUGCUUAUCAUGUUGAUCUAACAUUCAAGAAGAAAAUAUUGCUUCUAAUUGUGAUUUAUCGUUUGGCUUGAUUUAUUCUUACCAUUAGCUAAUGAAGUGCAUUGUACAUUAUACCUUUUAUUUUGCAAUUUCCCUGAUUAAAUGUGCAAAAGGAGAGCAGCAAUGAAUAGGAGAAAAUAUAUGUAUUUAUUUGUAUGCAAUACCUAUACCUGGUGAAUUAUACCAUUAUUAUGUAUAUGGGUGACAGAACACUACAUCAUGUCUCAUAUUUUUGGCAACUUGUCUUGGUGUUAUGAUUUCCAGCGUCGU